UUAGGUCACUGGCAGCUCCAAUUUAUACACGUUGGAAAAAUGAAAGAGCAGUUAUUUAGUUAUGGUCAUUUGACUGCGAAAAGCCUGAGAUGAGUAUCGCCUGAAAGUCAUCCCACUUAUUCGUCUUAUGCUCAAGUUUCAAUUUACGUCGGUCGGGUUCCCGGAUCUUAAGAACCACUGUUUACAGCUGUUUCAUUGAUUGUCUCUCAUUUGUUUUCCAGAAGCACGUUUUCUUCAAAAGCACCUCAUCUAUCACUUUUACCCAUUCUCCAAUUCCGGCAGGAUAUGUUCUUUUCUAACGAUAGAUGUUGUGGCACAAUUUAUCCUCCAUCCAAAUGAUAGAAAAUUGACUGUGAGCCACUGCUCAGAUUUCUGUUUUUUUAAAGUAACACUUUUUUCUGCUUUUUUUCCUUCCCAAAUCCCCCCAGUACAUAGUUGUAUAUUUUAGCUGUGGGUCCUUCUAGCUGUGGCAUGUGGGACGCCGUCUUAGUGUGGCCUGACGAGUGGUGCCAUAUCCGUGCCCUGGAUCCCAACCAGCGAAACCCCGGGCCGCCCAAGCGGAGAAGCUCGAACUUAACCACUCAGCCACGGGGCCAGCCCCUCAGAUUUCUAUUUUCAUAUCUCCCCCUUCUUUUGUAAAAGAGACCUCCUUUGAACACAGCUCAGACUGCUGUUCUCCUUACAUGAACCAGAAUUUCUGUAGAAUCAUAUUACCUGACAAAUGAGUGAGAACACCUCCUUAAACUGCCAUGUUACUUCUCACGAAUGAUGCUUGCUAUCUUGAAUGCUGGUUGUCUCCAUAGGCGGAUGCUGCCAGGUGAGCCCACUGAUUGGCUGGUGGAUUAUAGCCCUUUGUGGAGAGGGGCAGGUCUUCCAUCUGGGAGUUUGGGUUUAAUCUACACGAGGAGUGGGAAACGUGCCCACAACCGUUCUGCAAACUGUGAAGGGGCCUCCCCUCGGGCGGCCUGCAGGAGCUCCCCUCCGUCCUCCAAGGGCAGGCUGGCUCUCGCCAGGGACGCGGCUGCGAGGCCCGGGCUGCCUGGCCCCCUUUCCUUUCCCUUCCUCUCUCCUCCCCAACUGCUGCUCCCCGCAGGCCCAGUGAUUCUGUCUUGAGACUCAGACUGACCAGACUGGGGCCCACAAAGCAUGAUUGUUGGCACAUUAUUACAAUUCCCAUGUAUGAUUCCGAUGAGAACUGGAGAGAGCCGACAAAGGAAACAGACAACUACGCUGUUUUCAUGUUCGCUUCCUUCCUGGAGAAGAGGUUUCUAGUUUCUCUGCGGAUCACCAAGAGCUGUCACGUCUCACGGAUCCAGCUUCCCCCACUGCUCAGGCGCCACGAGUAAUUUGCCAGCCUGUCUGAAAGAGGUGAGGACAGGAGACGGAUCUCUGACAACACAGCACACGUCAAAAAGCUAUGUGAUGGCUGCAAAUGGCUCCGACCUGCUGUCCUCCAACACAGGAGCAAACUUCCAGGGACAGAAACGCAUCCCAAGACGAAAUCGGAACCCUGGACACACGCUACGUUCAUGAAACAGAAUACUGAAUUCUGCUUCAUCCCACACCGGGCACCAUGUCCUACGAGCCUGGUGUUCAUGCAAUUCGUGUGACGUAUUAAUCAACGACAUCCUGAGGUGCCAGGCAGCCAGCUGUCCCCAGCAGGUUCCACAGCCUGACAGGUGGCCCACCACUCCAGCACACGGCAACACCUGUUCUUCACGAGACUCUUUACCCAGGCCCUCUCCCGAAACUCAAGGGAAUUUUCUUCAACUCUGUGUAGAAGUCAUUCCAUUUUCCUUCACUAUGCAAGAAGAUAGUUCAUAUUUCAGAUCUCUGUUGGGCGUUGUUCGGGAGGCAAAGAUGGACGGGAUGUUUUUGAUCCCCUAGCAGAGAGAGAGGGUGGCUGUGGCCUGUAAGCAAUGAGACCACAGGGCAGCCCCCGCAGCUGCCCUCUGCUCAUUGAGCCGCCUGCUGUGCAGCUGGACAACACCAGGGCCUGCGUUAGACAGUGAACUUACUGCUGCGGAAGGCCACCCCUAACCUAAAAACCACACCGUCUCAGAUGGCGGGUUAACGCCAUCCAUAGCCUGUCUGAGACCAUUUGGGCAGCAAAGUCAAGACGACAGUAUUUAACUGAUUCUUUUUUUUAACUUUUAAGGGACUAGGUCAUUAAAAGAAAGGUCUUAUCUCAGAAUUUCAUUAUUUUAUCUAUGAUUAUUUGAAGAUACAAGUUUACAUAUUUAGAUAAGUUAGCCCCAGUGGCAUAAAUAAAAGAGCCAGUUACAGAUCCUGAACUAUGUUGAUCAUAAAGAGCACAGGACCAGCACUGUGGACUGUGAAAAGGCCGUGCACAGAAUGCCUUGGGAAGUUUGCCCUGAAUUUGGAAUCUAUAAAUGACUCUGUUUAUUAAAAGUGUAAUUAUAGUGGCUACACCACAGCAAUUCAGUAUUUCUAUAUGCUCAAAUGCAACUCAAAAUUCAGGUGUUACUGUGAGUUUGAACUAGGGCAAAAUGGUAACCUACAAUUUAAAAUAGAACGCAGCCAAGACAUGGUGAAAUGAAUCUCGAAGUUCUUCAUUAAAAGGCACCUUAAUGAAACUGAACUAGGCCACGGGGCAGAGGGAUUUCUAACUGUAAAAUGAGCCAACGCAGGUCAUCACAUUGACAAACAGGAGGAACAUCUGAUUCUGAAGACCAGAGCCAGUGUGACCACAAUCACCGCAGGCAAAGCUCUUGACCAGGCCCCGAGACAGAAGGCCGCGAAGACUGCGAGCUUCCAGGACCGAGGACCGACGGGAACCUCAGCACGUCAUUAUGUGCAUCCUUCACAGAGCGUCUGCUGCUGUUCACAGCCGCGCCGGUGGUGGAACCGAGCCUCCUCUCCAGAACACUGCUAAAACCCUCGCCCUGAUGCUCGGGGUCCUCUGCGGAGGCAGCGCGUCGAAGAGCAGCAGCCCUGACUUUCUGGGCUGAGUGGGUCAUAAGAGCUGCAGAGUGAGAGAAGGAAGACUCCGGUGCAGCCCCUCCCUGCCGCCCUUGGGGGACCCGCAGAGCAGGGGUCAGUGGAGGGUCCAUGCUGCUGGCUCACUGCUGGGGCCUGGGACCCAUGUAAUCAGACACUAGUCUCUUAUCUGGUGGGGGCUCCACGUCCAGUCAUAGAGGCUAGAAGGAGGGAAUCUGGACAGAGAAUCAAGAGUCGAGAAUGAUUUCCAUUUAUGGUCGUGUCUCCCCACACCCACUGCUUCCGGCUUGGGGUGGGGAGCAAAAGAAGGAGAAGGAAAAAGUAAGACUGAAGGAGAAAGGGAGGAAAGAAUAUAGAUUAUGAAAUAAAUGCAACUCAGAAAUAAUAAUGGCUGACAUAUUUGAGAACUCACAGUGCCAACCAUGCUAUUUUGUUUUUAUACACACACACAACUAUUUAACAUAUAAUAUAUUGCAUGUUCAACAACAUAUAUUUAAUGUAAUUUUUUAGAAUGACAAGUCCUGAAAGCACUAUGAACAGUCAGGUACCGGACUAUUCAUAAAUGUUUAAUCACCAGCUCUCAAAAAAGAGCCUGAUUUGUAGUGCUUGCCAGUUUCCAUCUGUAAAUACUCUCCACCAUGGCCAAUUUCAAGCUGCCCAUCUGAGUCACUGAACACGUAGGUGGGGGAGAAAUUUGCAGUCCACCAUUAUAUGCUAUUUGCGCCAUCCAGAUACAAUAGAUAAAAAUAAUCUCAAAAACACAGAUAAUAAUUAAAUGUAGUAAAAUAGUUAGGAAUUGAUGAGUUUUGAGUAUUUAUUACUUUUGACUUAAUGCAACUUAUUUACUAAAUUAUAAUUUAAUUUUUAACAGGAGCUGUAUUUAACGACUUGCAAAAUUCCUGAAAAUUUAACAAUUGGCUUUUGCGAACAGACAUGAACGCUAACAGCACCGCUUGUGAAAUGAGUACCACUCUCCCCAUUUGACCCUAAGAGGAAACUGAGGAAGAGAGGAGUCUGGCAAUCUGUCUGAGGUCCUAUAACUUGUGAGGGGCUGAGCCCAGGCUGCAAACCUUUCUGCUUCUCCGGUGGGGAAUUUCCGCCAUAAACCAGCCCUCAGUGACCGCAGAUCCUCAUCUGUUUACGUUCUAAUUACCGCUUGUAGCAAAACCUGGUCUGGAUCUUUGUGGGGGAGGGUAGCUUUGGGGAGGGGUGGGUGAUUCCAGCCUGGACGGUGAAGGCUGGUUGGAGGGGGACCUCAGGAAGCACUGGUUCUCUCCCCCUGUGCACCCAGCAGGGGCGGUGUGGGAACUCAAGCUAAGACACAGACUCCUGUGGAAUAUUCUCUGGGGAGAACAGCAAUGUGAACUUACUUCCUAUUAAAUUAAUGUAAGCAUAAGAUGUCAUUUCUGGCUAAGAUGAAUAUAUUUUUAUAAAUACAGUUAUUUGGGCUAAAACUGUAUUUUGUCCAGAGUCUUCACAGAGAUUUCUGAGUGGGUCAUAAUUCUCAGUGAGAAAGACACAAUAUUUUAUCACUCAAGCAAAGAGUUUGUUAUGAGUAUUAACUAAAUAUUGCUGGUCAUAACCAUUACCGACAUUAAACUGACAAUGGCAAAUUACUUUCCGACUUUUAGUGAUUCUCAUUUUAUGUAUGUAUUUUGAAAUAAUAAUUAUUAUUCUAAAAUUUAAAACAUAGUAAUAUAUAUCCUAC
Molecule: long non-coding RNA, 4669 nt
Filed under: Equus caballus (horse)
Lineage: Eukaryota; Metazoa; Chordata; Mammalia; Perissodactyla; Equidae
Description: lncRNA (ENSECAG00000054276.1)
Source: RNAcentral